CCUCGAAAGUUGUGUCUAAAACGUGGCAUAAACUACAGCCAUAUAACCAAGAACCAUGGUUUCACAGUCGGAGAGUUUUCCUGAAGCGAAGGUGAAGAUGGGACCACCCACUCCAACCACAACAGAGCUUGAAGAGGAAAUCAGAAACUGCGAUUGCUGAUGGCAAGAGACAAAGUUGUUGGAAAGCUUGGAAAACCUCUCCAUUACAAAAGUGGCACAUUCCACAGGAUUAUUCUCAACUUCAUGAUCCAGGGAGGUAAUAUUACAUUUGGUGAUGGAAGAGGUGAGGAUCGGUCUAUGGAUAGAAGUUUGCUGACAAGAACAUUAAGAUGAAGCAUACUGGACCUGGCUCCUGUCAAUUGCAAAUGCUUGCCUUGAAACAAACCGGGCUUCUGUCAAUCAUUUUUGCUUAUUUUGUGUUGAUUAGUUUCAUUAUCAUUGCAGUAUGGUUGGUUGUUGUUUUGUUCAAGAUUAUUGAGAGAUUUCCCUUUCCUCUUUGUUGUUUUGCAGUCAUAAUUUUUCACUACUUGUCCUAAUAGCAGAGAAGUUAGUACAAAUGAAGUAUAUCUCUGAACCAGUGCUGUUUUGUGAUUGGCUAAAGUGCUCGCUGAAGCUGGAAUAUAUGUGUCUGGACUCGGAGCAGAUGGCGGAGUAUAACCCUUUAGAAGCUUUCGGCGUAGCAAAGAAAACUCCUGCGAGGGUGCUGGUGUAGCUUUGUGAUUGGUUGAAUCUGGGAUAUAGGUGUCUGGGCUUGGUGCAGAUGGGUGAGAAUAACCCUUAAGAAGCUCUCGGCGUAGCAAAGUUAAAGCACUAGCCAUGGAGACCUUUUCGUUGAUCCGGGUGUCAUGGGCAGUUGGAGAAUUGGUCACUGGCGCAGAUGUUGUAAUGAUCUUAGUAGCAAAGGCCUUUUCAUUGAUCCGGCUGUCGCCAGUGGUCGGAGAAAUGUUCAAGGCAACAGAUGUUGUAAUCAUGUCAGUAGCAAAGGCCUUUUCCUUGAUCUGGCUGUCGUGGGUGGUCGGAGAAUUGGGGAAGGCAACAGUUGUGGUAAAGAACUAAGAGCUUAACUGGUUAGGUGUAGCGGCUAAGCUUGAGUUCAUGUAGGAACAAAUGGCAAGUACUAUGAAAAGGGAUGCAACAAAGAAUGGUUUAGAAGAUAGGCUUUCCAUCUCUGUGUGUGAGUGUGGAGGGUAGUACUUUGUGUAGGGGUAAUGGAUGAAGGGUUAACAAUAUAGUAUAUAUUUAUAUAAACUUUGCAGGGGCCUUCAUUUGCUGAU
Long non-coding RNA from Quercus robur (English oak), 1274 nucleotides. RefSeq lists it as uncharacterized. Lineage: Eukaryota; Viridiplantae; Streptophyta; Magnoliopsida; Fagales; Fagaceae. The record is from RefSeq and is a predicted model, not a curated record. The transcript has 5 exons.